ACGGCUCAGUAACACGUAGUCAACCUAACUCGUGGACGUGGAUAACCUCGGGAAACUGAGAAUAAACCACGAUAGAUCAUAGUGCCUGGAAUGGCUUAUGGUCCAAACAGUUUACUGCCAUGGGAUGGGACUGCGGCCUAUCAGCUUGUUGGUGAGGUAAUGGCCCACCAAGGCGAUUACAGGUACGGGCUCUGAGAGGAGAAGCCCGGAGAUGGGUACUGAGACACGGACCCAGGCCCUAUGGGGCGCAGCAGGCGAGAAACCUUAGCAAUGUGCGAAAGCACGGCUGGGUCAGUCCGAGUGAUUCCUGAUAAAGGAGUCUUUUGCUUGUCCUAAAAGCACAGGUGAAUAAGGGGUGGGCAAGUCUGGUGUCAGCCGCCGCGGUAAUACCAGCACCUCGAGUGGUCAGGACGUUUAUUGGGCCUAAAGCAUCCGUAGCCGGCUCUGCAAGUCUUCGGUUAAAUCCACCUGCUCAACAGAUGGGCUGCUGGAGAUACUACAGGGCUAGGGAGUGGGAGAGGCAGACGGUAUUCAGUGGGUAGGGGUAAAAUCCUUUGAUCCAUUGAGGACCACCAGUGGCGAAGGCGGUCUGCCAGAACACGUUCGACGGUGAGGGAUGAAAGCUGGGGGAGCAAACCGGAUUAGAUACCCGGGUAGUCCCAGCUGUAAACGAUGCAAACUCGGUGAUGCAUUGGCUUAUGGUCAAUGCAGUGCCGCAGGAAGCCGUUAAGUUUGCCGCCUGGGAAGUACGGACGCAAGUCUGAAACUCAAAGGGAUUUGACGG
This 784-nucleotide ribosomal RNA is filed under the name uncultured archaeon. RNAcentral describes it as "bacterial SSU rRNA". It matches the Rfam family "Archaeal small subunit ribosomal RNA", at positions 85 to 872 of the family's 1478-position model. The record is from RNAcentral.